Molecule: long non-coding RNA, 229 nt
Filed under: Elaeis guineensis (African oil palm)
Lineage: Eukaryota; Viridiplantae; Streptophyta; Magnoliopsida; Arecales; Arecaceae
Description: long non-coding RNA (EGUI_LNC061444)
Source: RNAcentral
ACCUAAUCUAAUCAAUGACUCUAAUUGUAAUUUAGUCUCUAAACCUAAUUUGUUCCACCCAUAUUCGAAGUCCAUAUUUUAUACAUUAAAAUUUAAAUCUUAAAUUCAUAAUUUCAGAUCUUAUAAUUUUAAAUUUUAAUUCUCAAUUAAGUACAUUAUGUACAUAGGUUUAAAUUUAGAUCUCAAAAUAAUUUUUAAUCUAAAUAAUUUAUAUUGCAUCUCAUACAAU